UGUAUUAUAUUCCAUGUUUUGCUUUCCAGAAAGUUUGACAGCUGCUCACGGGUUCAAAAUGGCCGCGUGGGUGAAAAUGAACACGUGGUUUAAAACCGGUACUGGGUUGAAUUCUACAAUAUUAUUGGUUUUAUUAUUUCUACCAGCUCUAGCACUGGGACAGCAGGAAUAUUGUUCAAUCACUCCUCAGCACACACUCUGCAAUCUACCGGAGACUGGUCCCGGCUGUGAUGGAACUAUAGAGACAAAAGGAAUUGAUGAGGAAGAUAUUACGAUCAUUGUUGAUACGCAUAACAAGAUCCGCGCUAAAGUAGCAAAUGGUGAGGAAGGUAAUCAACCCCCAGCUAGUAAUAUGAAACGAAUGGAGUGGGACGAGGAAUUAGCAAAAGUUGCGCAGAGGUGGGCAAAUCAGUGUUCCCUGAAUUCUGGCCAACCUCACGACUGUAAUCAAUGCAGAGCUGUGUCAAGAUUCCCAGUUGGGCAGAAUGCUUUGUAUUCAGCUGCCUCGGUGGCUCAAAAGUUUGAUUUUGCUCAGGAAAUCAGAGGAUUCAGGGAAUGGCGACUGAUGAGAUUCCUUUGGUAACCCCAAGCCAGUUGGAACAAUUUUAUAGCAAUGCAGCUGGACACUACACUCAGAUAGUCUGGGCUGAUACAUGCAAGGUAGGAUGUGGGCUAACUGCAGUUAAG
Molecule: unclassified non-coding RNA, 687 nt
Filed under: Eurytemora carolleeae
Lineage: Eukaryota; Metazoa; Arthropoda; Copepoda; Calanoida; Temoridae
Description: venom allergen 5
Source: RNAcentral